Molecule: unclassified non-coding RNA, 324 nt
Filed under: soil metagenome
Description: partial contains 5.8S ribosomal RNA, internal transcribed spacer 2, and large subunit ribosomal RNA
Rfam family: 5.8S ribosomal RNA (bases 1-120)
Source: RNAcentral
GAUGAAGAGCGCAGCGAAAUGCGAUAAGUAGUGUGAAUUGCAGAAUUCAGUGAAUCAUCGAAUCUUUGAACGCACAUUGCGCCCCUUGGUAUUCCAUGGGGCAUGCCUGUUCGAGCGUCAUCUGUACCUUCAAGCUUUGCUUGGUGUUGGGUGUUUGUCCCUCGGGACUCGCCUUAAAGUCAUUGGCAGCCAGUGUUUUGGUUUUGAAGCGCAGCACAAGUCGCGAUUCAAGGCUAUCCGCCCGCUUCCACAAGCCUUUUUCACUUUUGACCUCGGAUCAGGUAGGGAUACCCGCUGAACUUGAGCAUAUCAAUAAGCGGAGGA